AGAAACCCUGGGCCGGAUUAGUAGGCCGGUUGAGUGGAAAAAAGAAAGAAAAGAAGGUGGGCCGAUCGUGGUUGAGAAAAAGGAGAGAAGGGGAAGCCGGCCCAAGCAAGAAGCUGCCGUAUAGAGGCCCACGCGUCACGGGUUAAAAGUUGGCGGGCCACUUUUCGGCCCAAAGGAAGAUUUCGGCCGUGGGCCCCACGUGUCAGUGAAGAAAAGAGGAAGGAGAAUAGGAGGCCGGAUGGGCCCUAG
RNAcentral lists this long non-coding RNA (249 nucleotides) under Setaria italica (foxtail millet). Its description in RNAcentral is "long non-coding RNA (SITA_LNC005897)". Lineage: Eukaryota; Viridiplantae; Streptophyta; Magnoliopsida; Poales; Poaceae. The record is from RNAcentral.